GAUGAACGCUGACAGAAUGCUUAACACAUGCAAGUCUUUGGCGAAGCUGUGCUUGCACAGCCUAGCCAAGGCGGACGGGUGAGUAACGCGUAAGGAACUUGCCCUGCAGUCAGGGAUAACAGACGGAAACGACUGAUAAGACCUGGUAAAGUCAGGCGGACUCAUGUCCAGCCUGAUGAAAAGAGAUGCUGCAGGAGAGCCUUGCGUCCUAUUAGCUUGUUGGUGGGGUAACGGCCCACCAAGGCGAUGAUAGGUAGCCGGCCUGAGAGGGUGGACGGCCAAAAGGGAACUGGGUACGGGCCCUAACCCCAAGGGAGGGAAGCAGGGGGGAAAUUGGACAAUGGGGGCAACCCUGAUCCAGCAAUUCUGUGUGCACGAUGAAGGUUUUCGGAUUGUAAAGUGCUUUCAGCAGGGAAGAAAAAAUGACGGUACCUGCAGAAGAAGCGACGGCUAAAUACGUG
Molecule: ribosomal RNA, 461 nt
Filed under: uncultured bacterium
Lineage: Bacteria
Description: partial 16S ribosomal RNA
Rfam family: Bacterial small subunit ribosomal RNA
Source: RNAcentral